This 168-nucleotide ribosomal RNA is filed under the name uncultured Alphaproteobacteria bacterium. RNAcentral's name for it is "partial 16S ribosomal RNA". It matches the Rfam family "Bacterial small subunit ribosomal RNA", at positions 338 to 520 of the family's 1533-position model. Lineage: Bacteria; Pseudomonadati; Pseudomonadota; Alphaproteobacteria. The record is from RNAcentral.
CCUACGGGAGGCAGCAGUUGGGAAUAUUGGACAAUGGGGGAAACCCUGAUCCAGCAAUGCCGCGUGAGUGAUGAAGGCCCUCGGGUCGUAAAGCUCUUUCAGCGGGAAAGAACAAAUGACGGUACCCGCAGAAGAAGCACCGGCUAACUCCGUUUCCAGCAGCCGGGA